UGGCGAGUGGUGUAGUGGUAACACAAAGGUCUUUGGAACCUUCGUCCCAGGUUCGAAUCCUGGCUCGCCAGCCA
RNAcentral lists this transfer RNA (74 nucleotides) under Chloroflexota bacterium. RNAcentral describes it as "tRNA-Gln". It matches the Rfam family "tRNA". From Rfam's summary of the family: Transfer RNA (tRNA) molecules are approximately 80 nucleotides in length. Their secondary structure includes four short double-helical elements and three loops (D, anti-codon, and T loops). Further hydrogen bonds mediate the characteristic L-shaped molecular structure. tRNAs have two regions of fundamental functional importance: the anti-codon, which is responsible for specific mRNA codon recognition, and the 3' end, to which the tRNAs corresponding amino acid is attached (by aminoacyl-tRNA synthetases). tRNAs cope with the degeneracy of the genetic code in two manners: having more than one tRNA (with a specific anti-codon) for a particular amino acid; and 'wobble' base-pairing, i.e. permitting non-standard base-pairing at the 3rd anti-codon position. Lineage: Bacteria; Bacillati; Chloroflexota. The record is from RNAcentral.